GAUGAACGCUGGCGGCGUGCCUAAUACAUGCAAGUCGAGCGAACAGACGAGGCGCUUGCUUCGCUGACGUUAGCGGCGGACGGGUGAGUAACAGGUGGAUAACCUACCUUAAAGACUGGGACAACUUGGGGAAACCGGAGCUAAUACCGGAUAAUAUCUUGAACCGCAUGAUUCAAUAGUGAAUGACGGUUUUGCUGUCUUUUAUAGAUGGAUCCGCGCCGCAUUAGCUAGUUGGUAAGGUAACGGCUUACCAAGGCAACGAUGCGUAGCCGACCUGAGAGGGUGAUCGGCCACACUGGAACUGAGACACGGUCCAGACUCCUACGGGAGGCAGCAGUAGGGAAUCUUCCGCAAUGGGCGAAAGCCUGACGGAGCAACGCCGCGUGAGUGAUGAAGGUCUUCGGAUCGUAAAACUCUGUUAUUAGGGAAGAACAAAUGUGUAAGUAACUAUGCGCGUCUUGACGGUACCUAAUCAGAAAGCCACGGCUAACUACGUG
Molecule: ribosomal RNA, 497 nt
Filed under: uncultured bacterium
Lineage: Bacteria
Description: partial 16S ribosomal RNA
Rfam family: Bacterial small subunit ribosomal RNA
Source: RNAcentral